AUUAGUUAGAAGACGCAAACUUAUAAGUUGGAGUAUAAAGAGAUAAAGAUAGGCUGACUAUCAUCUCUUCAAUAAACUGAUCUACUUCUAAUUUAGGUUUUGUAGGAGUUUUAUAAAUAUCUCCAUCUUUUCUUUUGAAAAUUAUUACUCCGUAUAUCUUCGGAGGAUUAUUAUAGAUUUUUAGGCAUGGUAAAGGCGUUAUUAUUCUUAUUCUCAUUCAAAUUUGUAUCUAUCUUUACCAAUGAAAUUAAUUUUUUGUGGAGGAAAGAAAUAGAGAUUCUGACCCAUCCAACAAAAAAAGGCCACAUAUUUAUCAUCUUUUUCAUCUCCAAUUUCUAUGCUUCCUUUCCCCUUUUGUUUUUCUCAUGCUCAGCCACUUAGCUCAAGUUUCAAACAGCUAAAUCAUGGCUUCUCUCUAUACUUUUGCGCCGCCGUCAUACUCAAUUGGAAUUCUCCGCCGUCCCUCACUCGCAAUUUGUUCCCCUUUAUUUAACCGCGUUGUUCCUGCCGGCCUUAAUUUGAACGCCAAUCUCAAUAUUCGGUAAGGAACUUUAUCUGCAAGAAAAGAAGAGGCGGAUUCGAGUAUCUGCAUCAAAUACGAACCCUGAGAAAAAAGCGGAUGACUCUAAAUCAAGUGAUGGUGCUUCGAGUCCUCCAUUCCUAACGAUUUUAGCUGGUCUCCUAGUCUUCCUAUUCAUAUCUUGGAUAAUAGGAUCUGUUAGUAAUGUGGAUUGUUGGCUUUGUUUUACAUCCUCCACAGUUGAAAUGAGACCGAGUUUAACAUCGUUAGAUUCUCUGUUGCAUAAACACGAGGCAAUAUUGAGAGUAUACUAAUGUGUUGCUCGCACCAGUGCUGACUUUGGGGUUUCAUUCAAAUUUGGUCUCAGCAGGCUUUUGCACUGGUUGAUCAUGUCAUAUUACUAGUUGAUUCUCUCGUGUAGAUUGUCGGAUAUAAAAUACUUCUACUCAAUCUAUAAUUCACA
Molecule: RNA transcript, 983 nt
Organism: Salvia splendens (bonfire salvia)
Lineage: Eukaryota; Viridiplantae; Streptophyta; Magnoliopsida; Lamiales; Lamiaceae
Exons: 2
Source: RefSeq, a predicted model, not a curated record